AUACGGAGGGUGCAAGCGUUAAUCGGAAUUACUGGGCGUAAAGCGCUCGUAGGCGGCUUGUAAAGUCGGAUGUGAAAGCCCCGGGCUCAACCUGGGAACUGCAUUCGAUACUGGCAGGCUAGAGUAUAGUAGAGGCAAGUGGAAUUCCGGGUGUAGCGGUGAAAUGCGUAGAUAUCCGGAGGAACAUCAGUGGCGAAGGCGACUUGCUGGACUAAUACUGACGCUAAGGAGCGAAAGCGUGGGGAGCAAACGGGAUUAGAUACCCUAGUAGUCC
Molecule: ribosomal RNA, 274 nt
Filed under: uncultured bacterium
Lineage: Bacteria
Description: partial 16S ribosomal RNA
Rfam family: Bacterial small subunit ribosomal RNA
Source: RNAcentral